This 497-nucleotide ribosomal RNA is filed under the name uncultured bacterium. RNAcentral describes it as "partial 16S ribosomal RNA". It matches the Rfam family "Bacterial small subunit ribosomal RNA", at positions 28 to 507 of the family's 1533-position model. The record is from RNAcentral.
GAUGAACGCUGGCGGCGUGCCUAAUACAUGCAAGUCGAGCGAACGGACGAGAAUCUUGCUUCUCUGAUGUUAGCGGCGGACGGGUGAGUAACACGUGGAUAACCUACCUAUAAGACUGGGAUAACUUCGGGAAACCGGAGCUAAUACCGGAUAAUAUUUUGAACCGCAUGGUUCAAAAGUGAAAGACGGUCUUGCUGUCACUUAUAGAUGGAUCCUCGCUGCAUUAGCUAGUUGGUAAGGUAAAGGCUUACCAAGGCAACGAUGCAUAGCCGACCUGAGAGGAGGGACAGGGACACUGGAAAUGAGACACGGGCGAGACUCCUAAGGGAGGCAGCAGGGGGGAAUAUUGGAGAAUGGGCGAAAGCCUGAUACAGCCAUGCCGCGUGUGGGAAGAAGGUGUUAGGAUUGUAGAGAACUUUAAGUUGGGAGGAAGGGCAGGAAGUGAAUACCUUGCUGUUUUGACGUGACCAACAGAAUAAGAACCGGCUAACUUCGGG